Molecule: non-coding RNA, 439 nt
Organism: Pantherophis guttatus
Lineage: Eukaryota; Metazoa; Chordata; Lepidosauria; Squamata; Colubridae
Source: RefSeq, a predicted model, not a curated record
CGGAGCAAGCAGCAAUGGAGGCAAGGUUUAAUUAUUCGUGGAGCAGGGAGUAAAUAAAUCCCAGCUAACUCCAUUUUUUGAGAUGGAAGUCUCGCCACCCGUCUCUGCUGCAUUAACCACCACCGUUUCUGCAAUGCUAGUUCGUUAUCUAGCAACGUUCCAGACAGGCGUAUAUACCUUUCUAAGGAUUGAAGAUUUAGACCAGACUCUGCAGAUGUUUCCAUAUCUGGACUAUGAACAUCCAGACGGCCACUAGAUGGCAGCGAUAAGAAAUAAAGCAGGGGUGUCCACAGGGUAUGGUCACCAAAGUCAACAUGGCAGCCCCCAUCCCAUCAAUGCAAUCAACCUCUGCUUGUAUUUGGUUUUAUAUGUAUCACAAGUGACCCUUGCAAAAGAUGUCACAAUGUGGAAAAAAAUAAAUAAAAAACCACAACCCAUA